This 501-nucleotide ribosomal RNA is filed under the name uncultured bacterium. Its description in RNAcentral is "partial 16S ribosomal RNA". It matches the Rfam family "Bacterial small subunit ribosomal RNA", at positions 28 to 524 of the family's 1533-position model. The record is from RNAcentral.
GACGAACGCUGGCGGCAUGCCUUACACAUGCAAGUCGAACGGCAGCACGGGAGCAAUCCUGGUGGCGAGUGGCGGACGGGUGAGUAAUAUAUCGGAACGUGCCCAGUCGUGGGGGAUAACGCAGCGAAAGCUGUUCUAAUACCGCAUACGAUCUACGGAUGAAAGCGGGGGAUCGCAAGACCUCGCGCGAUUGGAGCGGCCGGUAUCAGAUUAGCUAGUUGGUGGGGUAAAGGCCAACCAAGGCGACGAUCUGUAGCUGGUCUGAGAGGACGACCAGCCACACUGGAACUGAGACACGGUCCAGACUCCUACGGGAGGCAGCAGUGGGGAAUUUUGGACAAUGGGCGCAAGCCUGAUCCAGCAAUGCCGCGUGCAGGAUGAAGGCCUUCGGGUUGUAAACUGCUUUUGUACGGAACGAAACGGCCCUUUCUAAUACAGGGGGCUAAUGACGGUACCGUAAGAAUAAGCACCGGCUAACUACGUGCCAGCCGCCGCCGUAAC